RNAcentral lists this ribosomal RNA (142 nucleotides) under Stramenopiles sp. RNAcentral describes it as "partial small subunit ribosomal RNA". It matches the Rfam family "Eukaryotic small subunit ribosomal RNA", at positions 1296 to 1461 of the family's 1831-position model. The record is from RNAcentral.
AGUUGGUGGAGUGAUUUGUCUGGUUAAUUCCGUUAACGAACGAGACCUCAGCCUACUAAAUAGGUCCGGUCAUUAUAAUGGCCGGAGCUUCUUAGAGGGACUAUCGAUGUUUAAUCGAUGGAAGUUUGAGGCAAUAACAGGU